AAUGGGAUUAGAUACCCCAGUAGUCCUAGCUGUAAACGAUGGAUACUAGGUGUAGCUUGUAUCGACCCGAGCUGUGCCGUAGCUAACGCGUUAAGUAUCCCGCUUGGGGAGUACGCACGCAAGUGUGAAACUCAAAGGAAUUGACGGGGGCCCGCACAAGCGGUGGAGUAUGUGGUUUAAUUCGAUGCAACGCGAAGAACCUUACCAGGGCUUGACAUGUCCGGAAUCCCGGUGAAAGCUGGGAGUGCAUUCGGGAGCCGGAACACAGUUGGUGCAUGACUGUCGUCAGCUCGUGUCGUGAGAUCUUGGGUUAAGUCCCGCAACGAGCGCAACCCUCGUCUUUAGUUGCCAGCAUUAAGUUGGGCACUCUAGAGAGACUGCCGGUGACAAACCGGAGGAAGGUGGGGAUGACGUCAAGUCAGCAUGCCCCUUACGCUCUGGUCGACACACGUACUACAAUGGUCGGGACAGAGGCCAGCGAACCUGCGAAGGCAAGCUAAUCCCAGCAAACUCGGCCCCAGUUCAGAUCGCAGGCUGCAACUCGCCUCGCGUGAAGGAGGAAUCGGUAGUAAUAGCCGGUCAGAAUACGGCGCCGAUCCAGUUCCCGGGCAGUUGUACACACCGCCCGUCACACCAUGGAAGCUGGCCACGCCCGAAGUCGUUACCCUAACCUUUCGGGGAAGG
This 684-nucleotide ribosomal RNA is filed under the name uncultured organism. RNAcentral's name for it is "bacterial SSU rRNA". It matches the Rfam family "Bacterial small subunit ribosomal RNA", at positions 771 to 1450 of the family's 1533-position model. The record is from RNAcentral.